Molecule: ribosomal RNA, 2906 nt
Filed under: Klebsiella michiganensis
Lineage: Bacteria; Pseudomonadati; Pseudomonadota; Gammaproteobacteria; Enterobacterales; Enterobacteriaceae
Description: 23S ribosomal RNA
Rfam family: Bacterial large subunit ribosomal RNA
Source: RNAcentral
GGUUAAGUGACUAAGCGUACACGGUGGAUGCCCUGGCAGUCAGAGGCGAUGAAGGACGUGCUAAUCUGCGAAAAGCGUCGGUAAGGUGAUAUGAACCGUUAUAGCCGGCGAUGUCCGAAUGGGGAAACCCAGUGCAAUUCGUUGCACUAUCGUUAACUGAAUACAUAGGUUAACGAGGCGAACCGGGGGAACUGAAACAUCUAAGUACCCCGAGGAAAAGAAAUCAACCGAGAUUCCCCCAGUAGCGGCGAGCGAACGGGGAGCAGCCCGGAGUCUGAAUCAGCUUGUGUGUUAGUGGAAGCGUCUGGAAAGUCGCAGGGUACAGGGUGAUACUCCCGUACACUAAAACACACAGGUUGUGAACUCGAAGAGUAGGGCGGGACACGUGGUAUCCUGUCUGAAUAUGGGGGGACCAUCCUCCAAGGCUAAAUACUCCUGACUGACCGAUAGUGAACCAGUACCGUGAGGGAAAGGCGAAAAGAACCCCGGCGAGGGGAGUGAAAAAGAACCUGAAACCGUGUACGUACAAGCAGUAGGAGCCCACUUGUUGGGUGACUGCGUACCUUUUGUAUAAUGGGUCAGCGACUUAUAUUCUGUAGCAAGGUUAACCGUAUAGGGGAGCCGCAGGGAAACCGAGUCUUAACUGGGCGUUAAGUUGCAGGGUAUAGACCCGAAACCCGGUGAUCUAGCCAUGGGCAGGUUGAAGGUUGGGUAACACUAACUGGAGGACCGAACCGACUAAUGUUGAAAAAUUAGCGGAUGACUUGUGGCUGGGGGUGAAAGGCCAAUCAAACCGGGAGAUAGCUGGUUCUCCCCGAAAGCUAUUUAGGUAGCGCCUCGUGAACUCAUCUUCGGGGGUAGAGCACUGUUUCGGCUAGGGGGUCAUCCCGACUUACCAACCCGAUGCAAACUACGAAUACCGAAGAAUGUUAUCACGGGAGACACACGGCGGGUGCUAACGUCCGUCGUGAAGAGGGAAACAACCCAGACCGCCAGCUAAGGUCCCAAAGUCAUGGUUAAGUGGGAAACGAUGUGGGAAGGCCCAGACAGCCAGGAUGUUGGCUUAGAAGCAGCCAUCAUUUAAAGAAAGCGUAAUAGCUCACUGGUCGAGUCGGCCUGCGCGGAAGAUGUAACGGGGCUAAACCAUGCACCGAAGCUGCGGCAGCGACACUAUGUGUUGUUGGGUAGGGGAGCGUUCUGUAAGCCGUUGAAGGUGGCCUGUGAGGGUUGCUGGAGGUAUCAGAAGUGCGAAUGCUGACAUAAGUAACGAUAAUGCGGGUGAAAAACCCGCACGCCGGAAGACCAAGGGUUCCUGUCCAACGUUAAUCGGGGCAGGGUGAGUCGACCCCUAAGGCGAGGCCGAAAGGCGUAGUCGAUGGGAAACAGGUUAAUAUUCCUGUACUCGGUGUUACUGCGAAGGGGGGACGGAGAAGGCUAUGUUGGCCGGGCGACGGUUGUCCCGGUUUAAGCAUGUAGGCGGAUGUUCCAGGUAAAUCCGGAACGUUACUAACGCUGAGGUGUGAUGACGAGGCACUACGGUGCUGAAGUGACAAAUGCCCUGCUUCCAGGAAAAGCCUCUAAGCAUCAGGUAACAUCAAAUCGUACCCCAAACCGACACAGGUGGUCAGGUAGAGAAUACCAAGGCGCUUGAGAGAACUCGGGUGAAGGAACUAGGCAAAAUGGUGCCGUAACUUCGGGAGAAGGCACGCUGAUGGUAAGUGAAGCGACUUGCUCGUGGAGCUGAAAUCAGUCGAAGAUACCAGCUGGCUGCAACUGUUUAUUAAAAACACAGCACUGUGCAAACACGAAAGUGGACGUAUACGGUGUGACGCCUGCCCGGUGCCGGAAGGUUAAUUGAUGGGGUUAUCCGUAAGGAGAAGCUCUUGAUCGAAGCCCCGGUAAACGGCGGCCGUAACUAUAACGGUCCUAAGGUAGCGAAAUUCCUUGUCGGGUAAGUUCCGACCUGCACGAAUGGCGUAAUGAUGGCCAGGCUGUCUCCACCCGAGACUCAGUGAAAUUGAACUCGCUGUGAAGAUGCAGUGUACCCGCGGCAAGACGGAAAGACCCCGUGAACCUUUACUAUAGCUUGACACUGAACACUGGUCCUUGAUGUGUAGGAUAGGUGGGAGGCUUUGAAGUGUGGACGCCAGUCUGCAUGGAGCCAUCCUUGAAAUACCACCCUUUAAUGGCUGGUGUUCUAACGUGGGCCCCUGAUCGGGGUUGCGGACAGUGUCUGGUGGGUAGUUUGACUGGGGCGGUCUCCUCCUAAAGAGUAACGGAGGAGCACGAAGGUCAGCUAAUCCUGGUCGGACAUCAGGAGGUUAGUGCAAUGGCAUAAGCUGGCUUGACUGCGAGCGUGACGGCGCGAGCAGGUGCGAAAGCAGGUCAUAGUGAUCCGGUGGUUCUGAAUGGAAGGGCCAUCGCUCAACGGAUAAAAGGUACUCCGGGGAUAACAGGCUGAUACCGCCCAAGAGUUCAUAUCGACGGCGGUGUUUGGCACCUCGAUGUCGGCUCAUCACAUCCUGGGGCUGAAGUAGGUCCCAAGGGUAUGGCUGUUCGCCAUUUAAAGUGGUACGCGAGCUGGGUUUAGAACGUCGUGAGACAGUUCGGUCCCUAUCUGCCGUGGGCGCUGGAGAAUUGAGGGGGGCUGCUCCUAGUACGAGAGGACCGGAGUGGACGCAUCACUGGUGUUCGGGUUGUCAUGCCAAUGGCAUUGCCCGGUAGCUAAAUGCGGAAGAGAUAAGUGCUGAAAGCAUCUAAGCACGAAACUUGCCCCGAGAUGAGUUCUCCCUGACCCUUUAAGGGUCCUGAAGGAACGUUGAAGACGACGACGUUGAUAGGCCGGGUGUGUAAGCGCAGCGAUGCGUUGAGCUAACCGGUACUAAUGAACCGUGAGGCUUAACCUU